GACGAACGCUGGCGGCGUGCUUAACACAUGCAAGUCGAACGGUGAAGCGCCUUCCUUUUUGGUGGGUGUGUAUGAGUGGCGAACGGGUGAGUAACACGUGAGUAACCUGCCCCCUUCUUCUGGAUAACCGCAUGAAAGUGUGGCUAAUACGGGAUAUUCUGGGUCUGUCGCAUGAUGGGUCUGGGAAAGAUAUUGUUUCGGUGGGGGAUGGGUUCGCGGCCUAUCAGCUUGUUGGUGGGGUGAUGGCCUACCAAGGCGACGACGGGUAGCCGGCCUGAGAGGGUGGACGGCCCGACUGGGGCUGAGACACGGCCCAGACUCCUACGGGAGGCAGCAGUGGGGAAUACUGCACAAUCGGAGCAAGGCUGAUGCAGCGACGCCGCGUGAGGGAUGGAGGCCUUCGGGUUGUGAACCUCUUUCGGCAGUGAAGCAGGCCUGCCUCGUUUGUGGGUGGGUUGACGGUAGCUGGAUAAGAAGCGCCGGCUAACUACGUG
Molecule: ribosomal RNA, 494 nt
Filed under: uncultured bacterium
Lineage: Bacteria
Description: partial 16S ribosomal RNA
Rfam family: Bacterial small subunit ribosomal RNA
Source: RNAcentral